UAUCUUUCUAGUUCUCUCUUC
Caenorhabditis elegans is the source of this 21-nucleotide non-coding RNA. NCBI's taxonomy places the organism in Eukaryota, Metazoa, Nematoda, Chromadorea, Rhabditida, Rhabditidae. The record is from Ensembl.